Molecule: ribosomal RNA, 492 nt
Filed under: uncultured bacterium
Lineage: Bacteria
Description: partial 16S ribosomal RNA
Rfam family: Bacterial small subunit ribosomal RNA
Source: RNAcentral
AGUGAACGCUGGCGGUAGGCCUAACACAUGCAAGUCGAACGGCAGCACAGUAAGAGCUUGCUCUUACGGGUGGCGAGUGGCGGACGGGUGAGGAAUACAUCGGAAUCUACUUUUUCGUGGGGGAUAACGUAGGGAAACUUACGCUAAUACCGCAUACGACCUACGGGUGAAAGCAGGGGAUCUUCGGACCUUGCGCGAUUGAAUGAGCCGAUGUCGGAUUAGCUAGUUGGCGGGGUAAAGGCCCACCAAGGCGACGAUCCGAAGCUGGUCUGAGAGGAUGAUCAGCCACACUGGAACUGAGACACGGUCCAGACUCCUACGGGAGGCAGCAGUGGGGAAUAUUGGACAAUGGGCGCAAGCCUGAUCCAGCCAUACCGCGUGGGUGAAGAAGGCCUUCGGGUUGUAAAGCCCUUUUGUUGGGAAAGAAAGGCAGCAGGUUAAUACCCCGCUGUUCUGACGGUACCCAAAGAAUAAGCACCGGCUAACUUCGUG